ACACAGUAAGGUGAAUUGAAUGAAGACUUUUUUCGUUUUGAAGUUUGAAUCUAAAUCAGUCAAAUCAGACUCAUCCCUUUAAUUAAAAUGAGGGAGGUCAUUUAAUUAAAAUGAAUAGAGCUGAAAUAGCCUCUCACUGUUACCAACAAGACCACAGCUAGCUUAGCUUAGCUCACCUGCCGCAGCUCGCCUGCCAGGUGGUUUUCUUAAUUAGUUAAUUGGUUGCAUCUGGUGCGUUUCACUUAAAAGGGAACCGGACAGUACAUUUGUUUGUGUCUGUUUUUGAGGUCUUUUGUGACUUAUUUAACAUCUCUUCCAGUUUCACAUGUUAAAGACUUUUUGAAGUAAAGAGGAGCAUCUCAUCUGAACCUGAUGUCUAUCAUGGAUUAACUGCAGUUCUGUGAGUAUCCCAACUUAACCAUGAAGCAUAACUGCAAACUGUAAGUCAUUAAUUUCUCAUUACUCUUGGGCACAUUGAUGUAUUUUGGCUUCCUGGUGAGAUAACCUGUUACCUGAAGGAUGAUUUGAGUAGUAAGAUGUUUUAUUGGUUCAUGGGUUACUUACUUAGGUGUUUGGUUUAUGUUGGUUUUAAUGAUUUGUUAAAAUGUUAUGGUUAUUGUUGUAAGCUGGAGUAAUGGGUUGGGUUCUGAUAUCUUCAGUCUUCUUUCAUUCUACUCUCCUGAGCUCUGCAUCUUCAUCACAUGAGUGUUGCUUUAUUGAUGAGGUUGUGGUCUGAGUGAGCAGAGGUGCAUACUGGGGUACAGAGCUGUCUCGAGUCUACAGGUCUGUAGACACGCCCCCUCAGGGGAAACCGCGUGUUUGAGAAACUGUCGUGUCGUCAGUUACAUGGACUGGAAUGUUCUUAAAGAUGGAGACAGGGAUUCAGAAGGAGAAACACCAGGGGGAGAUGAGGGGGCUCCUCAUCUCAACGACUAAAACACAACUUCAGUCUGACACAGAGAACCAUGGAACACAUUCAACAGUCCCCUCCAGGCAUCGUGACUCCUCAGGAACAGUUUCAUUUGGGGCCAUCCCCAUAUGGGUCCUGCUCCUCAAGAGCCACCCCCCUCCACUGGGUGGUCUUCUGAACAGAUGAUCUCCUUCCUGUCCUCAGGCUUACUAAAGCUGCACCGUUUGCAUCUGUGAAGGCCCCUCAUUCAGGAAACUGGACUACAAAGACAUGACUUCAGAGAUGUUGAAUCAACCUGGGACACAUUUUGGAGACUCCAAGCAUAAUCCAUCACCAAUGUGGGACGCCACUGAAGAAUGUUGUGCAUAAUUUACGUCUCUGGAGACAUUGGUUGUUCUGUCAUGGGUGCCCUGGCAGGAGAGCUGGGGGGGGAUGAUGGAAUGUUAUUUGAUAUGAGGUUUUUACCCUGCAUGAUUGUUUGGCCUUUUAUGGCUCAGUGAUGUGUGUUGGGUUUGACAUGAGAUGGAAGAUUUUUGAGCAUCACUAGGGUUCUACUACUGUGUGUGCGUGUCUCCCACCCACACCUGGCAUGGGGUUCUACGUGCCUGUCCUGGGUUCUAUGUGCGUGUGUCCGGCUUGCUUUGACAGUGAUAAUUAUCAUACGGGGGCUCUGUGUGAUUGGCUUGGGAUAUUGGAAUGGUCAACUAAAUCAUACCUGAUGGACGGCCACAUGUUUACUUGAGGGCCUCCAGUAGACCUGAAGAGCCCUGAGCGAUGCUCCGGAGCGAGAUCCAACACACUGGGCAGGAAGGAGAGUAUCCAACUCAAGUGUAAAAGGAUGCAAGCGGCGUGUUCAGAUCAGUGACUUCAAACUAGGACUACACCAAUCAGGAUCAAUGGAGGAUGGACACCAAAAGGAAUUCCACAAGGAGAGUCUGACGUUGGAAAGGGACCUAAAUGGAUAUUCAAGAUGACCUUCAGACCUGUAAUGAGACGGCUCUUCCUACCUGGCUGGAUUGAUGGAGAGCCCUGUGGAUCUUGUCUUGCUCUCAGUUGUACGUCUUCUCAGGCUAAACUGUAAUUGGUUCGGACAGGACUAGCUGAAGAACCAAUCCGGGAACUCCAGCUAGUGCGCUCUUCGAGCUGAAGUUGUGCUCUUCAGCUGAGGAGGUAAGGAAACCUUCACUGGGGCUUCAAGGUGUAAAGAGGAGAAUGUUUCAAAGUGUUCCAUGGUACUCUGAUGAAGACCGUUGUUGUGUUCCACUGGCUGCGAGGAAGAACCCACACAUCUUCCUCUUGGCCUUUCUCCUCUGAGAAUCCUGGCGCCAUCUUGAAGGAUAUUCCAGCUCAUGUAACUGAUGUCACGACAGAUUCUCAAACACUUGGUUUCUCCUGAGGGGCGUGUCUAUGGAACUGAGGACUUCAGACAGCACUGUAUCCCAGCAUGCAUCUCUGCUCACUCAGACCACACCCCCAUGAGUAGGAUGCAACACUCUAGUGAUGGAGAUGUAGAGUUUUAUAAGUAACGAGGGAGCAGACUAAGGUCAUUAGAACACAAUGGAAUUGUCAAGUUUGUAAAUCUUUAAGCCAUGAAGAUGGUUGGAUAGUUCAGGAAUUGGGCUUCUUUUUUAUUAUGGGCAGUCCUUUCACUCAGAUGCCCACUUCCCACAUGCCAUGGCUGGCUGGCAUGAUUUGCUGUUGGUGAUGAGGCGGUCAGGGUGACGUUGCAGGGCUAUGGUCGGCUCUCUGUGAGCUCAACGUUUAGAUUUGCUCUGUAUGGUUUGUACCCUGAAUAAUCUAGAUAAUUGUAAAAUGUAGACAUGGUUUUGUAUUGAAUGAUUCCCGGAUUUUAGGUUUAAAGUUGUUGUGGGAAGUACAUGGUAGUUUGGUUCUUCGUAUGGUUUUGAGUGAUAUAACUUGUACACACUGGGUGCAUAAUAAUGUAAAGGUACACUGAAUAGUAUUAAUGACCAACAGCAACAAACAGAUCUCCUCAAGGUAAGUCUGUUGGCUGUAUUUUAAUGAAGACCAUCGCUGGACUUCAGGAUCUUCCUCCGUUCAGCUCAAGGUGAGGCGCUGGUUCUGUUUUUUCUUUGGUUGGUUCCGGCCGGAAUGUUCGGAUUCUGGUCGGACGGUUUGUGCUUCCCGCCGUGGAAGGUUGAGUGCGAUCACUUGAUUUAGUCCCAAUGGUUAGCAUAGAACGUUGUAGUCUUGACAACCAUAAGAAACCACCUGGCAGUUAGUUUGACUGGAGUCCCCUGAGGGAAUCUGGCGGAACGUUCUUGAUGUAUUUGAGUAACCUCGAGGCGUUGCCAACGGAAACAAUUUCGGUUUCCAUUGGGAAUUGUUGCCCCUAUCUUAAACAACUACAUUAUGUACAUUAUGUUGAUAAUUUCCGAUGGUUGCGCCGUACUUUUAACCACGAUGACGUUGCGGGACUCUCACUGCGUACAAAACAGCGUUCUACUUGCGGGCCCAUUUUUGACAUCAGGGAAGGCUGAAAAUCAUUUCAAGGUGGAAGAUAAUUUGACGUUUCUUCAACGGAACCCAGCACCUGAAUAUGGCUGAGUAUAUUUGAUUUAAUAUCGAUACUGCUUAGUGUUCUUUGUUACUUCAGUUUUUGUACGUUCUAAAUAUCUGCCGUCAUUAAUUGCCACAGAAGUUAAACCCUACCCAAUGGAAUGACAUUAAACAACGACUUUGGUGCAGAGUUACCAACUGGAUAAUAUCAAAGCUAAACUAAUGGCCGUCGUUCCCACGUGUUACAGUAGAAGAUACUCUAGAACUGUACAAGGUUAAAAAGGUAACAUGUAGUUUGUCCCAAGGUGUCUGCCUCCUCACCAGAGCAAGACCUCCACCUCCUCACCCAGAGCCAGACCUCCAUCUCCUGUCAGAAGACCUCCAGAACAGCUGAAAGGCGAGGCUGAAAGGCGAGGCUGAGAGGCUGGGGACCGGAGGCUUGUGGUGCCAGGAUGGACCGGAGACUGAGGCUGGGGACCGGAGGCUUGUGGUGCCAGGAUGGACCGGAGACUGAGGCUGGAGACCAGGGGCCUGCAGCACCGGACCAGAGGACCAGGAAUCCAUGGCUGGAGGAGCCGUGCUGAUGGAGGAGCUGUGAUGAAGGAGCUGAUGGAGGAGCCGUGCUGAAGGCCCUGGGCAGGUGGAGGAGCUGGUGGAGGAGCUGGUGGAGGAGCUGGUUGAGGGCCUGCCUGGUGAAUGACGUCUGUCGUGGGACCAGGACUCUGUCUGAGGAGAGCUGCUGGAGGAGCUGAGACGCAGGAGGACGACUAGGAAUCGACCAACAAGGAUUCCUCAACGUGUUUCUGGAGCGGAGGCGAGCUGGUAGGGGAGCCGUGAAUCUGGAGGAUGACCAUCACUCUACCAACAAGGAUUACCAGGACUCUGGCUGAGGAGAGCUGAUGAAGGAGCCAAGACUCUGGAGGAAGACAUCACUCCACCAACCAGGAUCCUCAGAAUAAUUACGUUUGUGACCAGACCAGGAAGCUGGAGGACUGAUGGAGAAGCCAUACAUCUGGAAGGUAAAUCCUGAGGACCACCAGGACUCUACCAUCAAGGAUUCUUCGUAAAUAUGCAUUAUCUGGACAUAGUGGACUAGGGAAACACACCUGAGCUGAACCUCACCUGAUCCUGUUUGGUCGGGGGUAGACACACCUGAGCUAAACCCGCCCUGAUCCUGACAUCCUGCUGGUCCCUUCUCCUCAGUUCAUCUGAGCCUCGUCCUCCAGAAGACCUGCUGAGCUCAGCAGUCUGAGGCUGAUGGAUCAAUGACCUCCAGUGGGAGUGAUCUUCUUGACCCCACCUGUAACCGUGUGCUUCCACACGCCUUUCCCUCACGUCUGUCACUAACCUCACUACUUCACUACUCUCUAUUGCUUCCUCUUUUCUUCCUUCUCUGUGGUUCAAACCUUUACACUGAAGGCGCGUCUUCCUGCCCUCAGAGGGUUUAGCGUUAGGGUUGAGAGUCAGGGUUUAGAGUCAGGGACAGAGCUGGUCAGGGAGGACUGCUUUUACACAAACCUUUUCACUUGCUUUCGAAAUGGUGGUGACAUUUUGAAAAGAUUAAUUUGGGAAAAUGUUUUCCUCUGCUUUCCUGUACAAAAUUGUAUUAAACUUCUGUCAAGUGUUUUUGUUUAUAUAUUAAAAUCCCACAUUGACUUCUACCUGUUUGUGGCGGUUCAUUUAAUUGUCCUUUAACUUGGUUAAUGUCAAGCUAAACUCCUGCAUUACAUUUAAUAUACAUGAUUGUUAUUCUGCAAUGUUCCCAUGAUCCAUUUUGUAAAAAUAUGAAACCUCCAUAUUACUACUAAAUUCAAGCCUAUUCAUGUAUUUAACAAUGUACAUACUGCUCCGCAGGCCAUUCUCUGCUACUAAAACACGUUCAAUCCACCAACCCGUCUCGCAUCAAUGUAGGCCUACUAUAGCUACGUUGGUUCAAACGGAAAAUGUAGUUUGGUGUGAGAC
Long non-coding RNA from Gadus chalcogrammus (walleye pollock), 5392 nucleotides. RefSeq lists it as uncharacterized. The record is from RefSeq and is a predicted model, not a curated record. The transcript has 9 exons. NCBI's taxonomy places the organism in Eukaryota, Metazoa, Chordata, Actinopteri, Gadiformes, Gadidae.